This 468-nucleotide ribosomal RNA is filed under the name uncultured bacterium. Its description in RNAcentral is "partial 16S ribosomal RNA". It matches the Rfam family "Bacterial small subunit ribosomal RNA", at positions 28 to 507 of the family's 1533-position model. The record is from RNAcentral.
GACGAACGCUGGCGGCGUGCUUAACACAUGCAAGUCGAACGGAAAGGCCGCGCCGUUGGGGGGUCCUCGACUGGCGAACGGGUAACUAACACGCGAGUUACCUUCCGCUGUCGUAUGGCUCCAUUCAAGUAACUCGGGUUCAUACUAGGUACGAUGUCCUCCUGCACUGGGGGGGUUGGGAUGUUUCGGCGGUUGGGGAGGGACUCGCGGCUUAUCAGCUUGUUGGUGGGGUAGUGGCCUACCAAGGCUUUGACGGGUAGCCGGCCUGAGAGGGUGACCGGCCACAUUGGGACUGAGAUACGGCCCAGACUCCUACGGGAGGCAGCAGUGGGGAAUAUUGCACAAUGGGCGGAAGCCUGAUGCAGCAACGCCGCGUGCGGGAUGACGGCCUUCGGGUUGUAAACCGCUUUCGCCUGUGACGAAGCGUGAGUGACGGUAAUGGGUAAAGAAGCACCGGCUAACUACGUG